Molecule: transfer RNA, 68 nt
Filed under: Histeridae sp. BMNH 1274741
Lineage: Eukaryota; Metazoa; Arthropoda; Insecta; Coleoptera; Histeridae
Description: tRNA-Val
Source: RNAcentral
CAAAUUGGAGCUUGUUAAAGCGUUUUAUUUACAUUAAGAAGUUUGGUUGGUAGUUCAAUCUAAUUUGA